Molecule: unclassified non-coding RNA, 1334 nt
Filed under: Hevea brasiliensis (rubber tree)
Lineage: Eukaryota; Viridiplantae; Streptophyta; Magnoliopsida; Malpighiales; Euphorbiaceae
Source: RNAcentral
UUUCUUUUUUUUUUUCUCUUUUUUGUGGAGGGGGUGGGGAGAUGUUGGAUAGUAAAGAGAAACUCCAUAACUAAAGAAAUAUGACCACAAUCAAAUAAGAAAAACCAGCAAAAUAAUUGAAACUUGGCCUGAAAAUUUGAGAAUGGUGAAAACAUUUCUAGGCACAUCACAGUACAUAAUGAACCAUGGUCAGAUUCCCAAAUUUACAAUGUAUGAAGAUGAGAAAACUAACAAAGCAAGACAAGCUAAAACGAAAAGAAAAUAGAGAAGUUAAUGUUAAGCCAUGUUGGUUUGUUAUGUACCAUAAUUAUCAAAACCGAAAACAAAAAAGCAGUUUGCAACCCACAUUAAACAAGUCCAAAUAUAUGUCAUUUCACUUCCAUUCUGAAAGUUGAAAAAGAUGCUUCAUAUGUAUAAUGUUAGUUUUCCACUUUGUUUUCUCAAGGAUAUGAGAGGCAGAUAGCGAGUGAAAGGGCAAGAAAAGUUUUUGGUGUCUGCAUAGAUUUACCACCACUUAUGUCAUAAAUAACUUUAGGCAAGGAAAAUGACAUUGAAGACAAGCAUCUUCAAUUGUGCCAGAAUGGCUGUAUUAAAGAAGCAUCUAAAGAGUGAAGUAAAAAAACUUUGAAAAUUACAAAAAGCAAGCUAAAUGUUACGCCAAAUUAAGAAAAUGACAAGAACCUUUUCAGGCAGCUCUACACACUCCACAAGCCAGUGCUCAUUUGAAUAUUGAAGUAAAUACAUACACACAUAAAAACUAAAUUAAAAUUAUAUAAUAAAUAUCUAACCAGUAUAGAUUCUCCAUCCAAGUAGGUUAUGGCAUAAUUACCGCUCUUAUAUAAGGAGAAUCCUCGUGCUUUAAUAGACCAUGCAUUUGUUUGACAGUGAGUUUCAUGGUAAAAAACUUGUACAGUAGACAGAAAGCAGUUGAUGGCCCCCGACAGUUUCCAGUCAUCCAUGGCUCCACAUGGUCAACUUGAUUGUAUAUUUCAUCUAUCACUUCAUGGUACGUUUUUAACCGAUACAGCUCCUUGAAGUAGUCCGAGGACAGAAUAUUCAUACAAAGAACCUUCUCCAAUAGCGAGUCAAUGGGCUUCCCACUUGUCUGUAUCUCCAUAAUUGACUAUCAAAUAGGUGCACUCCUAAGUUCUACAGAACGAGAGAGGGGGGAGGAAUCCAAAAUCAAAUCGGAAGAAAUAAUCACGAUCUGUCUGAACCUUGGUGGCUUGGUUCUUCCACUUUUUCAUCAAGCGGCAAUCGAAAAUCAAUUGCUCAAAAUUAAAAACCUAAUGCGAAAAUGAGCAACUAAAAAAGAGGGAUUUCGCCCUUUCUCG